UACGGAGGGUGCAAGCGUUGUUCGGAUUUAUUGGGCUUAAAGGGUGCGUAGGCGGCCGAUUAAGUCAGCGGUGAAAGCUUUGGGCUCAACCCAGAAAUUGCCAUUGAUACUGGUCGGCUUGAGUAUUGCAGGGGUACAUGGAAUUGAUGGUGUAGCGGUGAAAUGCAUAGAUACCAUCAGGAACACCGAUAGCGAAGGCAUUGUACUGGGCAACCACUGACGCUGAUGCACGAAAGCGUGGGGAGCAAACAGG
RNAcentral lists this ribosomal RNA (253 nucleotides) under uncultured bacterium. RNAcentral's name for it is "partial 16S ribosomal RNA". It matches the Rfam family "Bacterial small subunit ribosomal RNA", at positions 524 to 776 of the family's 1533-position model. The record is from RNAcentral.